RNAcentral lists this ribosomal RNA (253 nucleotides) under uncultured bacterium. RNAcentral describes it as "partial 16S ribosomal RNA". It matches the Rfam family "Bacterial small subunit ribosomal RNA", at positions 524 to 776 of the family's 1533-position model. The record is from RNAcentral.
UACGAAGGGGGCUAGCGUUGGUCGGAAUUACUGGGCGUAAAGCGCACGUAGGCGGAUAUUUAAGUCAGGGGUGAAAUCCCAGAGCUCAACUCUGGAACUGCCUUUGAUACUGGGUAUCUUGAGUAUGGAAGAGGUGAGUGGAAUUCCGAGUGUAGAGGUGAAAUUUGUAGAUAUUCGGAGGAACACCAGUGGCGAAGGCGGCUCACUGGUCCAUUACUGACGCUGAGGUGCGAAAGCGUGGGGAGCAAACAGG